Long non-coding RNA from Siniperca chuatsi (mandarin fish), 1314 nucleotides. RefSeq lists it as uncharacterized. The transcript is spliced from 3 exons. The record is from RefSeq and is a predicted model, not a curated record. NCBI's taxonomy places the organism in Eukaryota, Metazoa, Chordata, Actinopteri, Centrarchiformes, Sinipercidae.
CAGAGAUCCUGAUGUGGUGAAUAGAGGAGUAGUUGGUGGAGCAAGGAGCCAUGUCUGUGCAGGUGAAAUGAGCAGCUUCGUCAGUGUGACACUGUAAGCUCUGAUCUCUCUGGAAGAGCCACUCUUCAUUUUAUAUUUCUUGGAUGUCCCACCAUACAAACCAGAAAUCGCCUCAUUGUAGUCUUUUGGAGCAAGUUUUGACCACUGUUGAGUCCUACUGUAUCUGUCAGACCAACUUUACCCUACACUGUACUAAUCAAGCACCUUGCUCUGGUCACUGGUGUGCUGAUAACAAAACUCCUGCUUGUUCACCCAUGGCACACUUCUAUUGUUGACUGAGGGUAUUAAGCCGUGAGUGGACGGAGAGACUGUGGGAAAACCGAGCUCCGACUCUACUCACACAUCUACUGGUCAAUAGCGCUGACCUCCCAGCCACAAAAGGCCUUUUCAUCUCUCCUCUCAAACAACAGCCAACAGCAGCACUGUGUAUGUGUGUGUCCGUGUGUGGUUGCACGUGCACACAGACCCAAGACAGGCCAAUUGUGCAUUUAUUUGAAAUGCAAUGAGAUGUUACGUCAUGCUGCAAUGCUGAACCUUAUUUUUCUGUGACCUGCUGCCACUUGUUGUCAAAUCCCUGGAAAUAUGAUCUCAUCACUUGUUUUGUCGACCCAAGCUGACAUUUGUAAACCAUAAAAGCUUUUACAGGUCACUUAAUCAAAUAUAAAACAUCUCAAAAACAACAGAAACAGACAAGGCUGUCUUUUCUCCAACACAUAAACUUUUUGAUCAAGAUUGUUAUCUUUAUUUUAUAAAUACUUGUGAGGUUUUCUACAAAUUAUUUUCAGUUUCAGGUAUUCUGGAAACAAGUGAAACUUCCUCAGAAACAUGAAAUGGUCUCACACUAGUGGCAUCUAUUUUGUUUUUCAUAGAAAAAUUCAACCGUUAUUAGUGCGACAGUCCCUAGUACAGCUGCCAGGGGACGCUGUUGAUUCUCUCCAACAGCACACACACAUCCAUUUAUUUGGUGUCAUUACUUAGUAGUGGUGGCACACUGCCAGCUUGAUUUUUUUUCUCUCCUCUGUCCGUGUUGACGAGAUGUAAAAUGUAUCAUUUAGUAUGUCAUUUAGUGUGUCUUUUGUGAACUGAUAUAAGGAAACGAGAAUCUCAGUUUUAGAAAUAUUAAAUAAGGAUGAUUUUGACAGUGCUGUUGAUGGGAUGUAACUAUAGAUAUCUGUGUUGAAAAGAUUUUUUUUUUUCGAAAAGGUUCCAUAGGCCUUUCUCACAGCAGACAUUCUGAUAUAAAACAGUAGGAAA